GACGAACGCUGGCGGCGUGCCUAAUACAUGCAAGUCGAACGCUUCCUACCGGUGCUUGCACCGGGAAAGAAGAGUGGCGGACGGGUGAGUAACACGUGGGUAACCUACCUACAAGCGGGGGAUAACAUUCGGAAACGGAUGCUAAUACCGCAUAGAUCUUUUUGUCUCCUGACAGAAAGAAGAAAGACGGUUUCGGCGGUAACUUGUAGAUGGACCCGCGGCGCAUUAGCUAGUUGGUGAGGUAAUGGCUCACCAAGACGAUGUUGCGUAGCCGACCUGAGAGGGUGAUCGGCCACACUGGGACUGAGACACGGCCCAGACUCCUACGGGAGGCAGCAGUAGGGAAUCUUCCGCAAUGGACGAAAGUCUGACGGAGCAACGCCGCGUGAGUGAAGAAGGUUUUCGGAUCGUAAAACUCUGUUGUUAGAGAAGAACAAGGAUGAGAGUAACUGCUCGUCCCUUGACGGUAUCUAACCAGAAAGUCAUGGCUAACUACGUGCCAGCCGCCGCAGUAA
RNAcentral lists this ribosomal RNA (515 nucleotides) under uncultured bacterium. Its description in RNAcentral is "partial 16S ribosomal RNA". It matches the Rfam family "Bacterial small subunit ribosomal RNA", at positions 28 to 523 of the family's 1533-position model. The record is from RNAcentral.